Molecule: long non-coding RNA, 1251 nt
Filed under: Acyrthosiphon pisum (pea aphid)
Lineage: Eukaryota; Metazoa; Arthropoda; Insecta; Hemiptera; Aphididae
Description: uncharacterized LOC100575182, transcript variant X1
Source: RNAcentral
UUUUAGAGUAGGUAAAACGAAAAACCAAAACCGAACUUAGGUAUUUAAAAAUUCGCGUUUUCUUAAAUUUUUUUUUUGUUAUUCCCAGCGCUUUUUGUAGAGUAACUAGGUACUGUUCAUUUCGACAUCCCCUAUGCACUUACUAGAUUACACUUACCGGAAAAGAUGAGAAGCGGAGCAUUGUUUCGAAUACUUAUCGUGUACACUGACACAAAUAAUAAAAAUGUAUUAAGCAAUAAGCAGAACGUACAUUUUGUCAUUAGUAUCAAUAUAGGUCGAUUCACUCUAAUUUUUAAACUAAUUAUGCUAAAUGUGAUCGUAAAUUUGCUAUAUAUAAGACGGACACAAUAAAAUGCCCGUGUUACGUGUUAAAUCGUGGAGCUGCAUCGUUCACGAAUUUUCAAAAUUUUAAUGCCCGCGGUUCUGUCUUAUCACUAUGUACCGCUAAAUAGUAAUAACUGUUAUCAAAUAAAUAACAACAUAAUAUUAUUAUUUUUUCGUAUGCCGACUUUAAAUUUGAAUCACUCACGAAUCUCGAUUAUUUGAAAUUUGAACAAAAAUAAAGACUACAGAACACUCGUAAAGAGUUCUAUUCAUACAUUUUAAUACAAAACCACCAUGGACAAGUGUAUUCUUUUCAGUAAAACAUUCAAUGUAUCGCCUCGCCACAACAAGUCAAUCAUCUUCAUUAGCAACAUUGGUACUACUCUGCGCACGACUAGUAAAUCGCAUCUAAGAGAAAAUUUUGUUUCUCCAACGAUGGGUUAGAAGUAAAUGAACAGACGAAUAAAGGAUUUGGAGGCCAUGAUUUUAAUUCACCCAUAAAAGCCUUAGACACCCAAUAAUGUCUAAUUCACACACACUUGUUUCAUACAGUGGAUUAUGCUUAUUAUGGUUUUCAAAACUGAAAUUUAUGAUGUACCACAUACACGAAACUAGGAAGUUGAGCCAAUGUAUUGACAAAUUUUCAGAUGUUGACUUUCUUGGAGAUAAUUCUACCGACUCGACGAAUUAUGAAACUUAAAGGUGAAAAUAUUGUUGAUAGGUUUUAAUUCCAAAUCUACUUUACUGUGCUAUUAACUAACAUACCCACCUGUUCACGGCCACAUAGUAUUAUAUCUAAAUGUGUGCGUGGACAUAUAUAUGUCUAUAGAAAGAGCUCAGCCCGUUUAGUCAUAAUAAAGCAAUAAAUUAAUAUAUAUGUUACAAUAUUAUAAUAUCCAUGACUUGUUUUCAAUAUAAAAUACAAAU